RNAcentral lists this ribosomal RNA (437 nucleotides) under uncultured bacterium. RNAcentral describes it as "bacterial SSU rRNA". It matches the Rfam family "Bacterial small subunit ribosomal RNA", at positions 338 to 789 of the family's 1533-position model. The record is from RNAcentral.
CCUACGGGGGGCAGCAGUGGGGGAUAUUGCACAAUGGGGGAAACCCUGAUGCAGCGACGCCGCGUGAGUGAAGAAGUAUUUCGGUAUGUAAAGCUCUAUCGGCAGGGAAGAAAAAAAUGACAGUACCUGACUAAGAAGCCCCGGCUAACUACGUGCCAGCAGCCGCGGUAAUACGUAGGGGGCAAGCGUUAUCCGGAUUUACUGGGUGUAAAGGGAGCGUAGACGGCCAGGCAAGUCUGAAGUGAAAGCCCGGGGCUCAACCCCGGGACCGCUUUGGAAACUGUAUGGCUAGAGUGCGGGAGGGGUAGGCGGAAUUCCUAGUGUAGCGGUGAAAUGCGUAGAUAUUAGGAGGAACACCGGUGGCGAAGGCGGCCUACUGGACCGUAACUGACGUUGAGGCUCGAAGGCGUGGGGAGCAAACAGGAUUAGAUACCCGU